UGCACCAUAACCUACCAGAGUACCUAUAUAAAGACGAGAGCGAGCUCGAAAUCACUGUAUUAAAAAAAGAAUAAGCUCGUGCGGAGUAAGGAGUGCGUGAGAUCCGGCAUGAAGAUGUCGAGGAGAUAUGCCCGUCAUGCACAAACGCCAUCAUUUAAAAUUGUGCCCUGUCGUCGGUGAUGGAAAAAACAGAUAAAGGACUGGAGCAACAUCGAAGCCACAGCCGAGCUCGAAUGGUACGAAGUUCUGCUGGAACUUAAAUAUACUUACUGGCUAACAGGGGCGAUCAACAGAUCGGAAGACCGCCGGGAUCUGCCCACUAUUCCGUGACCUACCCACAAGGUGAAUAAACAAAGAUUGAAUGAUUGGCUUGUACCGGAUUCCGUAGCAAUGUGAAGGUUAUAGAAAUAUAAAGAUAGGACACAGGAGGCAGACGCAUCUACCGAGGGAGAACAGUUAUGUGCAAGAUUCAGCGACAACACUAAGCUAAUCAUUUAAAUUCACGGUAACCUUCGAUUUUUAAAUAAAACCUCAGAGAACAAUAGGCAAACAUUGGUAUUUUUGUUCAUGAUAUAAAACUUCAAAUGAAAAUGGGCGAGGGAGUGGAAAUGUAAAUAGGUUUACCUGGCUGUUUUUAAAUGCAC
Ostrea edulis (European flat oyster) is the source of this 644-nucleotide long non-coding RNA. RefSeq lists it as uncharacterized. The record is from RefSeq and is a predicted model, not a curated record. The transcript has 5 exons. Lineage: Eukaryota; Metazoa; Mollusca; Bivalvia; Ostreida; Ostreidae.